RNAcentral lists this ribosomal RNA (407 nucleotides) under uncultured bacterium. Its description in RNAcentral is "partial 16S ribosomal RNA". It matches the Rfam family "Bacterial small subunit ribosomal RNA", at positions 355 to 747 of the family's 1533-position model. The record is from RNAcentral.
UGGGGAAUUUUGGGACAAUGGGCGAAAGCCUGAUCCAGCAAUGCCGCGUGUGUGAAGAAGGCCUUCGGGUUGUAAAGCACUUUUGUCCGGAAAGAAAUGGCUCUGGUUAAUACCUGGGUGCGAUGACGGUACCGGAAGAAUAAGGACCGGCUAACUACGUGCCAGCAGCCGCGGUAAUACGUAGGGUCCAAGCGUUAAUCGGAAUUACUGGGCGUAAAGCGUGCGCAGGCGGUUGUGCAAGACCGAUGUGAAAAUCCCCGGAGCUUAACUUGGGGAAUUGCAUUGGUGACUGGCACGGCUAGAGUGUGGUCAGGAGGGGGGUAGAAUUCCACGUGUAGCAGUGAAAUGCGUAGAGAUGUGGAGGAAUACCGAUGGCGAAGGCAGCCCCCUGGGAUAACACUGACGCU